This is a non-coding RNA of Cicer arietinum (chickpea), 532 nucleotides long. The record is from RefSeq and is a predicted model, not a curated record. Lineage: Eukaryota; Viridiplantae; Streptophyta; Magnoliopsida; Fabales; Fabaceae.
UUACUUCUUUCAGAUGAUUCUAUGGAAAAGCCAACAUAUGUUAGGUUUCUGGUAUCAAACUCUGCAGCUGGUUCUGUUAUUGGAAAGGGUGGUUCAACUAUCACUGAUUUUCAGUCACAAUCUUGAGCGCGAAUCUAGUUGUCACACAAUAAUGAAUUCUUCCCUGGAACUACUGAUAGGAUUAUCAUGGUAUCUGGUGCAAUCAAUGAAAUACUAAGAGCUGUAGAGCUCAUUCUUUCGAAGUUGCUCACUGAGCUUCAUAGCGAGGAUGACAAUGGCGUUGAGCCAAAAAAAAAAGUGAGACUCAUUGUUCCUAAUGGUUCUUGUGGUGGAAUAAUUGGCAAGGGAGGUGCUACCAUCACGUACAAACCAUUUUCUUUUGUUAAGUUCUAGGUCCUACUUGUUUGCCACAUGCAUUAAAUUAGUAUGGAUCAAAGUAACUUUUGAUACUUAUGCUUUUUUAUUUGUGUUCUGGAAAUAUGUUUUGACUUGAAGAGGUUGUUUCUUAUAUGAAUGCUGGUUCUUUUCCCUA